Molecule: ribosomal RNA, 497 nt
Filed under: uncultured bacterium
Lineage: Bacteria
Description: partial 16S ribosomal RNA
Rfam family: Bacterial small subunit ribosomal RNA
Source: RNAcentral
GAUGAACGCUGGCGGCGUGCCUAAUACAUGCAAGUCGAGCGAACAGAUGAGGAGCUUGCUCCUCUGACGUUAGCGGCGGACGGGUGAGUAACACGUGGAUAACCUACCUAUAAGACUGGGAUAACUUCGGGAAACCGGAGCUAAUACCGGAUAAUAUAUUGAACCGCAUGGUUCAAUAGUGAAAGACGGUUUUGCUGUCACUUAUAGAUGUAUCCGCGCCGCAUUAGCUAGUUGGUAAGGUAACGGCUUACCAAGGCAACGAUGCGUAGCCGACCUGAGAGGGUGAUCGGCCACACUGGAACUGAGACACGGUCCAGACUCCUACGGGAGGCAGCAGUAGGGAAUCUUCCGCAAAGGGCGAAAGCAUGACGGAGCAACGCCGCGUGAGUGAUGAAGGUCUUCGGAUCGUAAAACUCUGUUAUUAGGGAAGAACAAAUGUGUAAGUAACUAUGCACGUCUUGACGGUAACUAAUCAGAAAGCCACGGCUAACUACGUG